CCAAAUCCAUUUCCUACUUUCAUAUGUGCCGUUUGGACUUUGGUCAAAACCCUUAUGCUUGAAUUCACAGUUUGCCACCAAUUGGCUAUACUUCACUCUAGGUUAUAGUUGUAACACUCGUACCUUAUACGAAUAUCCCUCACUAUGGAAACCAAGAACAAGGAUAAGAAUCACGAACCCCUGGUAUUUUAUUUUAUUUUUGUGUUAUUUCUACCAAUAUGUUCAAUUUUCUAUUUCUUCGCUUUCUCCUUCGUUUUAGCUUGUUAAUGACGAGAUUUGAGACAUUUGCAUUUGAAGAUGAAAUGCUAAUGAUGUAUUUAUUAAAAUAACUUUUAACAUUUUUAUUAUUUCUAACAAAUUGAGACAAUUGUAUACUUACAAGUAAAUUAUCUAUUUGUUAACUAAAAUUAAUAUAAAUUUAUAAAAAAAAGUACUUGCGGGCGAUGUACCAAGCAAAGGCUUAAAAGUAGUAAUUUGUCUCCUUUCUUGUGAAGGCCUUAACCUCUAGUUAUAGAGUUGGUUAUCGGAGUUGUGGGGAGUUGGAGAGUAGUUGGCAACCUGGGUUGAAUCACUUGUUGGGUCAAACCGGUCUUUAUAGGGCGGUAUCUCCGGCCCAAUAUUAUUAUAUCGGUCUAAAGGAGAUAUUCUUCACUUCUUAUUUUCUUCCAUAUUCUCCUUUCCCUUAUUCAAUGAUAUCGGGUUUAUGUAUGAUUUUCGGUUAACACAUUUCCUUGACUCGUUGUUGACCUGAAUGUUUUAUCUUUCUUGGAAGUUUGCUAUAAUAUAAUAUGUGAGGGUUGAGCUUGAAUACAUUCUAAAUGAGAAAGCAUUACAGUUUUGUCUAUUUCAAUUCGCCCCAUUUUCAUUUUAUUAAGAUGAAUAUGAUUAACAGAACAAGCAAGACAAAGUUGAACCAGAU
RNAcentral lists this long non-coding RNA (919 nucleotides) under Medicago truncatula (barrel medic). RNAcentral's name for it is "long non-coding RNA (MTRU_LNC002802)". Lineage: Eukaryota; Viridiplantae; Streptophyta; Magnoliopsida; Fabales; Fabaceae. The record is from RNAcentral.